AUCCAGCCGACGAGUCCCAAAAAGGACGAAACGCACUUCCUGGAU
RNAcentral lists this non-coding RNA (45 nucleotides) under Schistosoma mansoni. Lineage: Eukaryota; Metazoa; Platyhelminthes; Trematoda; Strigeidida; Schistosomatidae. The record is from RNAcentral.